Non-coding RNA from Triticum aestivum (bread wheat), 89 nucleotides. The record is from Rfam. NCBI's taxonomy places the organism in Eukaryota, Viridiplantae, Streptophyta, Magnoliopsida, Poales, Poaceae.
UUUUUGCACUCUUACUUUAGGGAAAAUAUGCCAUUUCUGCUUCUGAGAAUUCAUGACUGAAAAACCUGUUAUAUUGAUCUGAGCCAGUG